CGCUACUCACUAAGUAUCUUCCCUUCGCGUGCAGCAACUUUUUUUUUUUGACAAACUAUGUGUUUACUAACAAGGACUGGCCGUUUGGGAGCAACAUGAAGCCGGAGUUGGAGCUGCUCUGCGUAAGGCCGACUCUCUCCGGCUGCAGCAGCUGGAGCAGUCUGCGCAGAACCGCCCUCCGGAGGAGGAUGUAGACCCACGGAUCCAUGAUCUGGUUCCAGCUCGCCAAGCGCAGAGCCAAGAGCAGCAGCUUCUCACACUGGCGCCUCGGCCUUCUGAUUCCUUCAUAAAACCUGCUAACGGAUAUGAGGAUGUAAAUCUGUGAAACGAAGAGGGAAGACGGUCAAACGGUCUAGAAAAUAAGAAAGUGCAAAUAACGCACAACGCCAGACUGUGAAAAUGUUGCACUCACAAGAAAAGGACUCCAACAAAGACAGGAGACCACUGUUAUCGCGGCCAGCUGUGUCAUCAUCUCCACAUCCAGGGAGCGCAGAGAGGAAGAUGAGAAGGACCCGUGUCUCCGAGUGACGCUUGACUUAAC
This is a long non-coding RNA of Puntigrus tetrazona (Sumatra barb), 541 nucleotides long. RefSeq lists it as uncharacterized. The transcript has 3 exons. Lineage: Eukaryota; Metazoa; Chordata; Actinopteri; Cypriniformes; Cyprinidae. The record is from RefSeq and is a predicted model, not a curated record.